This 240-nucleotide ribosomal RNA is filed under the name uncultured bacterium. RNAcentral describes it as "partial 16S ribosomal RNA". It matches the Rfam family "Bacterial small subunit ribosomal RNA", at positions 537 to 776 of the family's 1533-position model. The record is from RNAcentral.
AGCGUUGUACGGAUUUAUUGGGCGUAAAGAGCGUGUAGGCGGCCAAGUAGGUCCGUUGUGAAAACUGGAGGCUUAACCUCCAGCUGUCGAUGGAAACCAUUUGGCUAGAGUCCGGAAGAGGAGAGUGGAAUUCCUGGUGUAGCGGUGAAAUGCGCAGAUAUCAGGAAGAACACCCGUGGCGAAGGCGGCUCUCUGGGACGGUACUGACGCUGAGACGCGAAAGCGUGGGGAGCGAACAGG